This 207-nucleotide ribosomal RNA is filed under the name uncultured bacterium. RNAcentral describes it as "partial 16S ribosomal RNA". It matches the Rfam family "Bacterial small subunit ribosomal RNA", at positions 568 to 774 of the family's 1533-position model. The record is from RNAcentral.
CACGUAGGCGGAUAUUUAAGUCAGGGGUGAAAUCCCAGAGCUCAACUCUGGAACUGCCUUUGAUACUGGGUAUCUUGAGUAUGGAAGAGGUAAGUGGAAUUCCGAGUGUAGAGGUGAAAUUCGUAGAUAUUCGGAGGAACACCAGUGGCGAAGGCGGCUUACUGGUCCAUUACUGACGCUGAGGCUCGAAAGCGUGGGGAGCAAACA